CCGAAUUGUUGACACGAGUUGUUGCUGGCCUUCGAAUGGGGGCAUGUGCACGCUCUGUCUACACAUCCACCCACCCCCCGUGCACCUCCUGUAGUUCCAUGGUCCGGAGGCUCCGCUUCCCUUCUGUGGUUCUAUGUUUUUACACACACACGUUAAAGAAGUCUUGUGGAAUGUACGCCGCGUGUAACGCAAUACAAUA
RNAcentral lists this unclassified non-coding RNA (199 nucleotides) under uncultured Tomentella. Its description in RNAcentral is "sequence contains ITS1". The record is from RNAcentral. Lineage: Eukaryota; Fungi; Basidiomycota; Agaricomycetes; Thelephorales; Thelephoraceae.